GCGGGAGUGGUGGAAUCGGCAGACACGCAGGAUUUAGGUUCCUGUGCCUUCGGGCGUGAGGGUUCAAGUCCCUCCUUCCGCA
Molecule: transfer RNA, 82 nt
Filed under: Agromyces ramosus
Lineage: Bacteria; Bacillati; Actinomycetota; Actinomycetes; Micrococcales; Microbacteriaceae
Also listed under: 5 other names
Description: tRNA-Leu
Rfam family: tRNA
About the family: Transfer RNA (tRNA) molecules are approximately 80 nucleotides in length.
Source: RNAcentral